AACGAACGCUGGCGGCAGGCUUAACACAUGCAAGUCGAGCGCCCCGCAAGGGGAGCGGCAGACGGGUGAGUAACGCGUGGGAAUCUACCGUGCCCUAAGGAAUAGCUCCGGGAAACUGGA
RNAcentral lists this ribosomal RNA (120 nucleotides) under uncultured bacterium. RNAcentral describes it as "partial 16S ribosomal RNA". It matches the Rfam family "Bacterial small subunit ribosomal RNA", at positions 29 to 161 of the family's 1533-position model. The record is from RNAcentral.